UUUUGAUAAGUGAAUGUUUAGCAUAGGUGGUUGUUAGGGUGGUUGCUAGGGUCUUGAUAAGUGAAGGAUUUAGUAUCCUAAAUGGUUGCUAGCGUGCAUAUAAGUGAUUGCUAUAGUAUCCCAGGUGGUUGCUAGGGUGCAGAUAAGUGAUUGCUAUAGUAUCCCAGGUGGUUGCUAGGGUGCAGAUAAGUGAUUGCUAUAGUAUCCCAGGUGGUUGCUAGGGUGCAGAUAAGUGAUUGCUAUAGUAUCCCAGGUGGUUGCUAGGGUGCAGAUAAGUGAUUGCUAUAGUAUCCCAGGUGGUUGCUAGGGUGCAGAUAAGUGAUUGCUAUAGUAUCCCAGGUGGUUGCUAGGGUGCAGAUAAGUGAUUGCUAUAGUAUCCCAGGUGGUUGCUAG
This is a long non-coding RNA of Astyanax mexicanus (Mexican tetra), 393 nucleotides long. RefSeq lists it as uncharacterized. The record is from RefSeq and is a predicted model, not a curated record. Lineage: Eukaryota; Metazoa; Chordata; Actinopteri; Characiformes; Acestrorhamphidae. The transcript is spliced from 3 exons.